Molecule: ribosomal RNA, 402 nt
Filed under: uncultured bacterium
Lineage: Bacteria
Description: bacterial SSU rRNA
Rfam family: Bacterial small subunit ribosomal RNA
Source: RNAcentral
GGGGAUAUUGCACAAUGGGGGAAACCCUGAUGCAGCAACGCCGCGUGAAGGAAGAAGGUCUUCGGAUUGUAAACUUUUGUCUUGUGGGAAGAUAAUGACGGUACCACAGGAGGAAGCUCCGGCUAACUACGUGCCAGCAGCCGCGGUAAUACGUAGGGAGCGAGCGUUGUCCGGAUUUACUGGGUGUAAAGGGUGCGUAGGCGGCUAGACAAGUCAGGUGUGAAAUACCGCAGCUCAACUGCGGGGCUGCACUUGAAACUGUAGAGCUUGAGUGAUGGAGAGGUAAGCGGAAUUCCUAGUGUAGCGGUAAAAUGCGUAGAUAUUAGGAGGAACACCAGUGGCGAAGGCGGCUUACUGGACAUUAACUGACGCUGAGGCACGAAAGCGUGGGGAGCAAACAGG